UACGGAGGUUGCAAGCGUUGUUCGGAAUAACUGGGCGUAAAGGGAGCGCAGGCGGCUUGAUAAGUCUAAAGUGAAAACCCAGGGCUCAACUCUGGACCUGCUUUGGAUACUGUUAAGCUUGAGUACGUGAGAGGAGAUUGGAAUUCCAGGUGUAGCGGUGAAAUGCGUAGAUAUCUGGAGGAACACCGGUGGCGAAAGCGGAUCUCUGGCACGUUACUGACGCUGAGGCUCGAAAGCGUGGGGAGCAAACGGG
Molecule: ribosomal RNA, 253 nt
Filed under: uncultured bacterium
Lineage: Bacteria
Description: partial 16S ribosomal RNA
Rfam family: Bacterial small subunit ribosomal RNA
Source: RNAcentral